UCUGAAGCCUGGGUUAGCGGCGAGGUAAUAAAGGGGUCCCAAGUGUUGUGUGGAAUAGCUGGGCGUAAAGGGUGCGUAGGUGGUGGUGUAAGUCUGAGGUGAAAUAGCCGAGCGCAACUCGGAAAUGGCAGUGGAAACUACCCUGCUGGAUGGUCGGAGGGGGGACUGGAAUUCUCGGUGUAGCAGUGAAAUGCGUAGAUAUCGAGAGGAACACCAGUGGCGAAGGCGAGUCCCUGGACGACUCCUGACACUGAGGCACGAAAGCUAGGGGAGCAAACAGGAUUAGAUACCUGAGUAGCC
Molecule: ribosomal RNA, 300 nt
Filed under: uncultured archaeon
Lineage: Archaea
Description: partial 16S ribosomal RNA
Rfam family: Bacterial small subunit ribosomal RNA
Source: RNAcentral